UGUGUAGGUGGCAUAGUAAGUGAGAUGUGAAAUCUCCGAGCUCAACUUGGAAACUGCAUUUCAUACUACUAAGCUAGAGUACCGUAGAGGCAAAUGGAAUUCUCAGUGUAAGGGUGAAAUCUGCAGAUAUUGAGAAGAACACCAGUGGCGAGGGCGAUUUGCUGGGCGGAUACUGACGCUGAAACACGAAAGCUAGGGUAGCGAACG
This 207-nucleotide ribosomal RNA is filed under the name uncultured bacterium. Its description in RNAcentral is "partial 16S ribosomal RNA". It matches the Rfam family "Bacterial small subunit ribosomal RNA", at positions 568 to 774 of the family's 1533-position model. The record is from RNAcentral.